Molecule: ribosomal RNA, 207 nt
Filed under: uncultured bacterium
Lineage: Bacteria
Description: partial 16S ribosomal RNA
Rfam family: Bacterial small subunit ribosomal RNA
Source: RNAcentral
UCCGUAGACUGUAUUGUAAGUUAUUUGUUAAAUCCUAAAGCCUAACUUUAGAAAAGCAUUUAAUACUACUAUACUUGAGUUUUUUGUCAGAAGAGUAGAAUUUCAUGUCGAGGAGUAACGACUGCAGACACAUGAAGGAAUAUCAGCAGCGAAGGCGGCUCUUUGGUAAAAACUGACGUUGAGGGACGAAAGUGUAGGUAGCAAACA